UUAUCUCUGUAGAGUCUGCAUAUCAAUAAGCGGAGGAAAAGAAACUAACAAGGAUUCCCUUAGUAACGGCGAGUGAAGCGGGAAGAGCUCAAAUUUGAAAUCUUCAAGGUUCUACCUUGACGAAUCGUAGUUUAAAGAAGUGUUUUCUGUUAGAUGAGUAGCAAAAGUUCCUUGGAAUGGGACAUCAUAGAGGGUGAGAAUCCCGUAUUUGGUUAUUCAUUCUAGCUUUGUGAUACACUUUCAAAGAGUCGGAUUGUUUGGGAAUGCAGUCCAAAAUGGGUGGUAAAUUUCAUCUAAAGCUAAAUAUUGGCGAGAGACCGAUAGCGAACAAGUACCGUGAGGGAAAGAUGAAAAGAACUUUGAAAAGAGAGUUAAACAGUACGUGAAAUUGUCAAAAGGGAAGCGUUUGACACCAGUGUUGUUUUUCCGAAAAUCAAUUACGAAUGGCUUGAUUUUGUGUUGUAUUGACCUUAUCAGCUUUCUUCACUUUUUUCGAGUCUUUCUUAAUGCACUUUUCGGUUAACAAGUCAACAUCAAUUUCUUUUGUUGUAAAAGAGUAUUCGGAAGGUGGCUUUCUUUUCGGAGAAAGUGUUUAUAGCCCUAUACUUCUACAAUCGGAGAGAUUGAGGUCUGCAGCGUAGAUCCUUCGGAGUUAGAUACACUUGUGCUAAGUUGUAGCUUUUCAUAGACAACUUGUUGACUAUGUUUAGUCAUGCGGCUUACUCGCUUGUGCUAUUUUACCUACGCUUAGGAUGUUGAACUACUGAGACAUAGA
RNAcentral lists this ribosomal RNA (775 nucleotides) under uncultured Neocallimastigales. Its description in RNAcentral is "partial large subunit ribosomal RNA". It matches the Rfam family "Eukaryotic large subunit ribosomal RNA", at positions 24 to 644 of the family's 3401-position model. Lineage: Eukaryota; Fungi; Neocallimastigomycota; Neocallimastigomycetes; Neocallimastigales. The record is from RNAcentral.